Molecule: unclassified non-coding RNA, 323 nt
Filed under: uncultured fungus
Lineage: Eukaryota; Fungi
Description: partial contains 5.8S ribosomal RNA and internal transcribed spacer 2
Rfam family: 5.8S ribosomal RNA (bases 1-133)
Source: RNAcentral
UGGUUCUGGCAUCGAUGAAGAACGCAGCGAAAUGCGAUAAGUAGUGUGAAUUGCAGAAUUCAGUGAAUCAUCGAAUCUUUGAACGCACAUUGCGCCCUUUGGUAUUCCUUAGGGCAUGCCUGUUCGAGCGUCAUUUUACCCCUCAAGCGCAGCUUGGUGUUGGGCGCCUGUCCCCCCCGCGCGGGCGGACUCGCCUCGAAAGCAUUGGCAGCCGUUACGUUGGCUUCGAGCGCAGCAGAAUAGCGCACGGCGUCUGGCGGUAGCGGCUCUCCAGCAAGCCACCCACCCAUUUUGACCUCGGAUCAGGUAGGGAUACCCGCUGA